CCUCCUCCUCCUCCUCCUCCUCCUCUCCCUCUUUACCUCCCCCUUUUCCUACUCCCUAUCGUCCCUCCUCCUCUCUGAAUGAGUGAAACCUGAGAACUUGGACCAGCUCUGAACACCCCAUCUCCAGGAGAGAUCCUGCAGGGGGAGGUUCCCCAAAUCACUGCCCUCUCCCAGCCCUGGCCAAGCCGACCCCGCCCCCGACCACGACCAUUCCCCUUGUUGGCCCAGAAGCAGACACAUCUCAAGUCUCCUUCGCUUCUUCUCCUCCCCCCAUAUAUGAGUUAGGCUGAGUUUCUUUUUUUCACCUCCUCUGCCACAUAAAAAUUGUUUCUUUCCCAUUUCUCUACCCCGCCUUCUUUUCCCCUUUCCUCCCUCCCCCUCUCUAUCGACGUGUCUCUCUUGGGCUAUUUUUAGGGGAGUUCCCUAUAAAGGUCCCGGGAAAGUGAGGGCCAGACACUAAGACGUGGCACUCUGGCCCCUACAGGCAGCGAAAUCUGCAGACAUCCACUCCAGUGAUUUUUCUAAACUGACAUCUCAGAAGAAAAGCGAAGAUGAGAUUAGAGUGAAGAUCAUCACAAGAGAGCAAGCUCCAACCUUGGAUCAUGAUUGACAUGAAAGAAAAAUUUUAAUAUCUGUGAUAUUUAAAAAGAAGGAAGGAGAUUAGGUUAAAAUUAUGAAAAACCACAGACUAAAGACUGUGGCCUUUUGCCAUUUAAUUCUUAAUUGGAUUUUCCAGUGUACAAGCCAGCAGACACAUAUCAUGCUAUGGCAAUCCUUGGAUGUUCAAUUAUCCCUUUCAUUUUUUUUAUGCUCUUUACUAAGAUCAACCUUCCUUUUUGUUCAUUUAUUUGUUUUAAUGUAAUUUUGUAUUUGGGCAAUAUAAUCAGCUGUUUCAUACUAGAGUUAAUUCAUUCAACAAAUAUUAUUAACACUUGCUCUAUAAAAGUAGUGAUACUAAAGUUUUUAUUUAAAUAUGAUAGUGUCCUUAGGAGGCUAGAUAUUCUAGAUAUUAGUAAGUCAUAGAGAUAUUUUUCCAUGGAUUGAGUUUACUUUUUAAAUAGCAGUCUUCAUUUUUCUUAAAAAUAAAAAUGAAAUACUCAAAAUAACAUUUUAUGUAAAUAUUGUUAACCCUGGUAUUUAUGGAAAAACUAAGUAAUAGCUGAUAGUAUUGUAUAAUUUACUGAUAUUGAAGGAAGAUAAUAUACCAAAAAUAGUAUGCAGAAAAAAUAUGACAAGGCAAAAGCAAAUCAUGAGAGUGAAAACCAUUAUGUGAAAAUGAAGUAUAAAAUUAAAAUUUUCAUUUUCAAAAUA
Antechinus flavipes (yellow-footed antechinus) is the source of this 1311-nucleotide long non-coding RNA. RefSeq lists it as uncharacterized. The record is from RefSeq and is a predicted model, not a curated record. The transcript is spliced from 2 exons. NCBI's taxonomy places the organism in Eukaryota, Metazoa, Chordata, Mammalia, Dasyuromorphia, Dasyuridae.